This 1533-nucleotide long non-coding RNA is filed under the name Mus musculus (house mouse). RNAcentral's name for it is "long non-coding RNA chr6:29546603-29548136". The record is from RNAcentral. Lineage: Eukaryota; Metazoa; Chordata; Mammalia; Rodentia; Muridae.
GAAAGGAGGGGGGAGGGAGAGUUUGCAAUCAACAAAGCUGAAAGGAACUGGAGAUCUGAAGAGUGCUUUGACAUCUGACAUGCAGAUGAAUAAUUUGAGUUUGCCCAGCUGCUUUUUGGUCAUGUUUUAGUCCAGCAUCUCCUCACAGUGCUCCUCUUCCUCCCUUCUGGAACAGUAGUGCAUAUCCUGUGCCACUCAAUACUGGAAGUAUGUGAUCUGCCUUUUCAUCUUGAUUUUAUGAGGGGUUACAGUUAAGAGACUGCCACGAGUCUCAGAAGAAAUUCUGGACUUGUAAGCAGUCUAUGAAGACUUGUCAAGAGAUGGUGAAAGACUAUGGGGACUUCGGAAGUUGAACUGAAUGCAUUUUUUACACUAUGAUAUGGUUAUAAGCCAAUGGGGCCCACGUGAUAAUGGGCCUUCUGAAACUGUAAGCAAGUCCCAAAUUAAAUGCUUUUCUUUAUAUGAGUUCAUUGAUCAGAACAGUGACUAUGACAGUAAGAGUGGCCUGGGUCUCUAAUUACCUCCACCUUUGUCCCCAAUCCUACCAGUGACUGACCUAUGUGGCAAGAACUCCAGCUAAUUUUGAACUUAAAUGUCCUUGGUGGGUAAGCCCACAAAAAAGCAUCUUAAAAGUUAGUCCGUUUUCUUAUCUCUGUUCUCACAGCACUGCAGCAUUGACUAGUCUCUGGUCCCUGAUUUUACUAUUAUUUUUCUAGGUUCCAUUUUCUAUAUUCUAGUCCCAUAAUUCAAAUUAUUCUCCCAAAUAAGUUUAUGGUCACUCUUCCUCAAGACUUAAUCUUUUUAUUUGGUGUCUUGGUAGGUAAUGACAACCUGAGCGUCGAGAUACUCCAUCUGGUCUCUCGUUCCAAAAUCAACACUCUCCAUGUUCAGCACCAAUUUUUUUUUUAGCUUUCACAUGUCAUGGUAGACAGUCACAGUAAGAUGGAAAAGUUGGAAAUAAUGGCAGGAUUUCUUCUAGUCUUCAUUAUUCUGAGCUAGUGGCAGAUUACUAUGUUUUUAGACUCAGCUUUCUUCAAUCUGACCAAUUUAAAAAGCUGAGGAAUUAAUUACUAACACCAUUUGAAAAGCAGGCUGAAACUUGCUACAAUGAAGCUGAACCAGUUCACCCUCCCUGCUAAGGUGGCAAACAAAACAGCAUGUUGAGGCAAGAGUUAGAGGACCUUAAAACCAAAAGGGAGACUGAGUCAUUCACAGUUCAAGGGUUGCACACACUAGAGAAUUACUAAGAGGUGAGUAAUCCCAAACCUCUUUUUAGCUCCAUACUGCCUCUUAAUAUUUACACUUACACACACACACACACACACACACACACACACACACACACACACACACACACACACACAAUUUGCCACAGCCUGCUCUAGGAGUUACAGAACUUGUUUGGCAAUGAAGGUCAAGGCUACUUGGUUCAAUCCCCUUCUCGCUGAUCAAGGAUCAAGAAUAUGGUUCUUCUUAAUGUUGCUUUGCUGAGGGCCUUGCCCUUGCCCUUUUCUUGAAUAAAAAUGUUGCUUG